GCUGGUUUAGCUCAGUUGGUAGAGCAUCCCUCUCGUAAAGGGAAGGUCGUGAGUUCGAAUCUCACAACCAGCU
This 73-nucleotide transfer RNA is filed under the name Candidatus Dojkabacteria bacterium. Its description in RNAcentral is "tRNA-Thr". It matches the Rfam family "tRNA". From Rfam's summary of the family: Transfer RNA (tRNA) molecules are approximately 80 nucleotides in length. Their secondary structure includes four short double-helical elements and three loops (D, anti-codon, and T loops). Further hydrogen bonds mediate the characteristic L-shaped molecular structure. tRNAs have two regions of fundamental functional importance: the anti-codon, which is responsible for specific mRNA codon recognition, and the 3' end, to which the tRNAs corresponding amino acid is attached (by aminoacyl-tRNA synthetases). tRNAs cope with the degeneracy of the genetic code in two manners: having more than one tRNA (with a specific anti-codon) for a particular amino acid; and 'wobble' base-pairing, i.e. permitting non-standard base-pairing at the 3rd anti-codon position. The record is from RNAcentral.